This 125-nucleotide small RNA is filed under the name Marmota monax (woodchuck). The record is from RNAcentral. Lineage: Eukaryota; Metazoa; Chordata; Mammalia; Rodentia; Sciuridae.
GCCAGGCAUGGUGGCGCAUGGUUGUAAUCCCAUCCACUCAGGAGGCUGAGGCAGGAGAAUUGAGAGUUCAAAGCCAGCUUCAGCAAAAUUGAGUCACUAAGCAACUCAGUGAGAUUCUGUCUCUA